RNAcentral lists this long non-coding RNA (5217 nucleotides) under Carassius auratus (goldfish). Its description in RNAcentral is "lncRNA (ENSCARG00000034091.1)". The record is from RNAcentral. Lineage: Eukaryota; Metazoa; Chordata; Actinopteri; Cypriniformes; Cyprinidae.
AUGCUUGCUGGAUGGAUGACUGCAGAAGACAGUUCAUGGCUACAAACACUCUCACUGGAUAUGUGUAAAGAAUCGAAGCCUGUUGUCUGUGGAGCAGUUAGGUGUGGGGAUAUCCCUCAGGUACAUCUCCCUAUAGAGAUCGCUCAGUCAGGCAUUCAUCCAAUCUACUCCUGCACCGCUCAUUACGUCGAGAUGUUGCUCAAGGCAGAGGUUCCUCUGGUUUUUUCUGCCUUCAGGAUGUCUGACUUCACUCCCUCUCAGAAGGAACCAAUCCACGGCUUCAGGGUGAGUAAUUACCUGGAGUACAUGGAGGGGCUGGAGGGCAACUACAGAUCCAUGGUGCUCUCGGACAUGAGGAGCAUCUUACCAAGGAGCAGCUAGAAGGAAACAGACCACUGAAGAUCAGCAGGGACUGAAAGUGCUUGUGGUACAGAAUGAGACUGAACAUGUUGCAUGGAUUUAAAGCUGUUUUUAUUACACAACAUGCUCAAUAAGGGCACUGUUUUAUCAAACACUAUGUGUUUUCCCCCUUUGCUUUCAUUCUCUUUUAUUUAUUUUUUUGGAUUCUAAUACCGUACUAUAGUAUUCUCACUUAGGGAAUCAUAAAUAUGAGAACACAAGCUCUUCAAAGUAGAGGGUGACACGGGAGUGGAUUUUCAAAUCUUUCCCGUCCCACUCCCGCAAAAAAAAAUUCCGUCCCAUACCAAUCCCGCAAAAAAAAAAAAAAAAAAACGGGGAGAAAAUCCCAUCCCAUUCAAUCCCGGAAGAAUGAAUCCCGUUCCCGCCCACUCCCAGGUUGUAUAUUUUUUGGCUGGAAUCUGUCAGUUACAGUAAAAAAAUAAAUAAAUAAAAAAUACAGUAGGCUACAGAUCACAGCAUCACAGCAACUUUAGUAAAAUAAAAAAAUUAAAUGUGUUUUUUGCAGAUGCAGAUUGCAGAUUUUUCUACGGGUUCAAGUUGGUUACACAAGUUUGUUGACCAAUGGAAAGCUGCUUUUUUUUUUUUUUUUUAUGUGACUUCUGUAUGAGAUGUGCACUGAACACUGAGAAUAGACAGUAGUCCAAAAUUUCUAGAAUGCUGGCCCCAUAUGUAGGUUCAUGAGUCAUUUUGCAGUCUCAGACUGCUAUAUGACAUCAGUACGUAAGAAAAAUUUCCAUGCUUUUGAAUGCUUGAUUGCUGUCUUAAUGAGCAAUCGAACAUGAAGUACGUGGGAUCUAGCAUGUCAACACUUGAAUAUACAAUGACUCACAUGCUGUUGACGUAGUCUUGUUGUGUAGUGCAUGUUGCCAUUUUUUUCUAUAGGCAUAUAUUAACAUCUGCAGUCUCUCGUUCACAUCCUAAGGAAGCUGUACAGAGAGGCGUUAUCACGUUGACAGGCCGUCAUUAGCACAUAGAUGCAAUCUCUCACCCUCGCCAUCUGUAACUCACACAGUGAAUAAUGAAUUAGAUCAUUAGAGAGGUGUCUUUCUCCUUCACAACAACUGCUAAAUAUUGCAUACUGUUUACUCAGUAGGAGGCAGAAGGAGUUAUAAUUUAAGUUUUAAAAAGUUCCUUGGAGAAAGUAAGUAAAAAUAUAUGCACUCUUUUUUACAUUGCAUUAAAAAAAUAAAAAUUGUCACCCAUAAAGCAUAUGCUGAUGCUCAGAUAAAAAAUACUGUUUCAGUUUUGUGUGAUCAGUUGAUUUUAUCUUUGUGUAAUCAUAACGAGCUGUACACAUUAAUCAGGUUAAUGAUUUAAUGACUGAUUGUUGGCCAACAGUCAUCUGGAAAGCCAAUCUUGUGUUGGCUCAUUGUAAAUUGACAAUACAAGGCUUUUGUGGCAUGGAUGUUGAUGAUGUAUCCGCGGACCAAAAUGGUAGGAUAAUUAGAAAAGGAUAAUUAUGCCUAAUUAAACUGAUUAACUGAUAAUUAAGACAUAUCUGUCUCUGUAUUAGGCUUGAGGAGUUGCAUUAGCUUGAUUUUCUCUGGUAAAUAUGCUUUAUUAUUGUCCUCCACAUUAAUUAUCCCUGUUAUGACUGCCAAAUUCCACUUCUAGAAUCUGCUUGAUGAAUGGGCGAAUGUCAUUUGAAAGUGAGCAUCACUGUCCCUCUUCUCACUCUGAGAAGCACUUGAAAUGAGUAAUCUGAUUUGUGUAGGGCAUUAAGGGCCGUUCACACCAAGGACAAUAACAGUAAACUUUUAAUAAUUGUUUGAAUUCUAUAAGAAUAGUGAAGUCCACGCCACAUAUAAUGACACAAAAGAACUAUAUCAUUGGAAUAAAUUUCAGAACAAUUUUCUUUUUUUUUUCAGCUGAUGAACAAUAAAAAUUUGACAGCCACUCGAAUCCAACCAAUUUAAAGCUGCAGUAGGUAACUUUUGUAAAAAUAUAUUUUUUACAUAUUUGUUAAACCUGUCAUUAUGUCCUGUCAGUAGAAUAUGAGACAGAUAAUCUGUGAAAAAAUCAAGCUCCUCUGGCUCCUCCCAGUGGUCCUAUUGCCAUUUGCAGAAAGUUAUCUGCUCCCGGUAAGAAACAACCAAUCAGAGCUGCGGUCCGUAACUUUGUUUGUGUUCAAAAUGUAGAAAAAUUUAUAUAAUAAGCGAGUACACCGUGAAUCGAUUUCCCAAACCGUGUUUUUAGCUUGUCCUGAAUCACUAGGGUACACCUAUAAUAAGUGUUUAUAUUCGGACUAUUUUAGAUUGCUUCGGGGAUACCGCGGCGGAGUAACCCAGUACCUUUGUGAUUCUUCAUAGACAUAAACAGAGAGAAGUAGUUCCGGCUACGAUGUUCUUCCGCAAGACGCAAGCAGUUCUGUUUAUUAACCGCUAGAGCGUCAAAAGUUACCUACCGCAGCUGUAAGAGCUCACAUAAUUAAAGCGGCAGACAACAUAACUUCAAUGCACGCUUAUAAUAAACAAUGUUAUUGUGUGUUGGCAUGGACACUAAUAUAGUUAUUGAUAGCUAUAUUAGACUUGUGGCCAGUUGGCAGGCUACACAAAGAUUUGUCAAAGUAACUUUUUCAGACUUUUUUAGCAUUGUGAAACAAUAACCGUUUUAUUUUUCACUUUUUAAGCGGUUUUGUUUGGUGGUCCUCAACGUUCAUUUCAUUUAAGGGGAAGGAGUAGUACUCAUGUCAUUCUCGCAGCACCUCUUCUAAAUCUACAGCACAAAACAGUAUAUGUAGUUCACAGAACACAUUAAUCUUAUGAGACGUUUCUCAAAAAAUAUAGCACAUCCAGUGUAGUACGAUCCCUGAAUGAAUGACUGUAAUGUGCUGGUUCUUUUAGUGAAUCAAAAACAGUGCACACUUAACAAACUUAAAGGCAGGGUAGGCGAUUUGCUUCAAAACCAUUUUUUGUUUUGCUGGUUGAAAGUCUCUUCACAUCCCAUAAUCACUAUUAUUAUUAUUACUAUUUAUUUAUUCUGUGGGAGGCAUAGGACCAUAAAAUGUUAGUCCAAUCAUAUCCCUCGGUCCGAGGGCUACGAUAUUAUGCGCUUUGUACUAAAAUGUUUUCUCAACAGUAAAUGAGACAUGAUGGAAUCUGACAGCGUUGCAUUCAAAAUUACAUCAGUAGUGCUUGUCAUGUGUUUUGGGGGAGGCGUGGCUUUGAAGAGUGAUUUGCAGGUAGGGUGUGAUCUUAUGCUUUCAAAACUAGCUUGAUAUUGCUAGCCUCUCCAAAUUCACCAAUCCUACCUUUAAAACUUAUAUUGAAACAUGUAGUUGCAGAUGCACAUGAAGUUUGUCAGUAGUAUAUUAUUAAAAUAAAUGUUAGUCAUGGAAGCUUUAGCCUAAGUUCUGCCAGGAAGACUCAAUCACUUCGUCAUUAAUUACCUUCAUCAUUAUCCAAUCACGUCUUUAUACUCCUGUAUAAAAGAUCGUACUUACACAUGUUUGAGUUCGCAGAUGCCAACGCGACAACAACCUCCACCCUCCCCACCACCACCAGGAUGGUCCUGUCCUUACCUUCCAGGGGGGUCUGCUGCGCCCCUGCCUUCGUCUUCAGGCAGGAAAUGCAGAUUCGCUACCCUCGGAUUACGAACCAUGGACGGGGCCUUCCGCCAAAGAAAUUUAUAAUUGUGCUCGCUGAGCUGUCAAUAAAUGUAUGCUUCCUACAUUCCUCUAUCUCCCGAGUCUUUCUGGUAGAAAUACUUUUUUUUUGUUUUGGUGUUGCUGUACUUUUUGCUAACAGUCCAGUUUUGAAUCUGUCCUGAAUUGCAGGUGAAACUAAGCGGUUGUCCUUUAACACUGAUGUUCAAGUGUCAGUCAUUGGAUAUCUACUUACUGUGCAUUGAUGGACACCCAAUCAAUCUGAGGGUCUUUGAAGAAGAUAUCACAAGCAUUAUCCAUCUCCAUUAAACUCCAGAAUCUCAAGGGCUGAAUCCAUUUUCUCUCUGUAUCAAUUGUAAUCUGGACUGAUUAGUGUGUGAUUAGAAUGCAUGACUGUAACUCUCCCUGCCCAGUAACUCAAAGCCCAGAAGCAUCAAUGAUAGGUCAGCUUCUACAGCAAAUGGAUGAGAUUGAAGGAGUCAAUUCUUGUUCCUUGUGAGAUAGAAGAGGCUUAUGGAUCAGACUCAAACUGUGUGAAAAUCUACAGACUUUGUGCAGAAAGUAAAACUCCUUUAUGUUCAAAGUAGGCAUCGAAAAAACGAAGUGAAGAGAAGGAGACAAGAGACAGAAGAAGAUUGCCACACGAACAUAACCCAUCCGUUCCCUGUCAGAAGAAGCCAGUAAUUUAUAACACACAUUAGGUAUUGUACACAUGAUUUCUUAGUCAAGUUGGCGCACCACUUUUAUCACACACCAUCCAUCUGAAUCGUAUUGUAGUUCAGCAGUAGCACAACUGUGUCCUCUGGCUUCUUUCCUAAUGUAUUUGUAGACUUUCCUUUUCAGAUAUUUUCUUUUUGCUGUGAUCUAACCCAUUAUGACACCAUCAGCACAAAUUUCCCCUCAGGCCCACCUGACGAGACCAUCGGGUUAAUUGCAAAAAGUCUCAUUAGCGUUAUCAUACAGGCAGCCAUUUGAAUUACAAGAAGCACAAUACUUACCAGAGCACAUAGGGAGUCCAAUGAAUGGAAUAUGAGUGUGUGAUGAUCAACUAGUGCAGAUAACCCCGGGCAAAAAACAACAUUAUUCUUUAAUAUCUCUGUCUCUUCGAACCACAGGAACACAGAUCACAGAUAGUGUUUGAGUGAAGCUAUCAGUGCAGAAGUGAAUAUCAAAGCCAAGGAGACAUCAGAGAG